GUGUUCUUAUUCGAUUGCUGCGGCUUUCCCCGUAUUUUUAGCAAAGAAGUAAGGGGAAGGAUUCCGAGGAUCUUGCGUUUCCUUAUUUGGUCGCAAUUUUCUCGGGAUGUGGUGUCUUGGAUUUCGCGAGAUUUCCGCGAGCAGACGGGUGUGAUUUGAAAGGACGAGUCGCUUCGUUUCCUUUCGCCACGUGUAAAGGCUAUGAAACAGCACUCGAGUGGCUAUUCUUUGAGAUUUGAACUUCGAGGUUGUUUUGGACCGUUGGAUUUUCGCGCCUUUUCGUUUCUCCUGAGAUCACAUCUGGGCCACUUGAUCGUGAUUGAUCCGGAUCGUUAGAUUGAUCCUGUGGUUCAGAUGGAAGCGGCGCGAACUUUCCUGUACGGAUGCGUUGGCCUAUAUAUAGGAGGGAGGUUUUUCGUUUGAAACUUUACAGUUUCUCACUUACUUUCUCUAUUAUUUUGCCUUUCCGGUUCAAGCUUUCUCUGGUGGUUUUCUACUACAAACUCCUCAUUCCUAUCUUCAUUUGACCAACAAGUAAGUGUUUUAUCCUUUUAAUCUUUGAAGAUUUUGUUUGGAUUUUACUUUGGAUUGUUGUAGAUAGUUCACGCGGUGUAGGGCUGUAGUAUGUUUCCUGUGUAGUCUGGGUAGUCUUUUUGAAGGUUGUAGGUGGUGAUUAGCACCCUUUUCCCCCCAAAAGAGGGGUUUUUCGUGGUUUUCCGGCGAGAAAUCGCUUGUUUUCACCAACUGACGGUUGGGUUCUAGCUUAGAACAGUGUCGAGCACCAUAUGCAUUUCGUGCUCGGUUGUCUACAUGAAUUUCG
This 820-nucleotide long non-coding RNA is filed under the name Trifolium pratense (red clover). RNAcentral's name for it is "long non-coding RNA (TPRA_LNC008389)". The record is from RNAcentral. Lineage: Eukaryota; Viridiplantae; Streptophyta; Magnoliopsida; Fabales; Fabaceae.